This is a long non-coding RNA of Gopherus evgoodei (Goodes thornscrub tortoise), 177 nucleotides long. RefSeq lists it as uncharacterized. The transcript has 3 exons. The record is from RefSeq and is a predicted model, not a curated record. Lineage: Eukaryota; Metazoa; Chordata; Testudines; Testudinidae.
GCAGGAAGUGGAGGGGAUGAUGGGGGUAGAGCUUCCUGCAGACAGAGAGGUUUCUGGGAAUGGAUCUGACCCAGCCCUGGCUGCUCCUUGCAGGGGAAAAGGAAGUCCUUCCCUUCCCAGCCCUGCUGAGAUUAGCAGCUGAGUCUGGCACACUGGGUAGGAGCCAUUAGCUGGGGU